GGGACCGUAUCUUCGACGCGGUCGCGGCCGCCUAUGCCGGCCUGUCACGCCGGAGGUCGCGGGUUCGAGCCCCGUCACUCCCGCCA
Molecule: transfer RNA, 86 nt
Filed under: Propylenella binzhouense
Lineage: Bacteria; Pseudomonadati; Pseudomonadota; Alphaproteobacteria; Hyphomicrobiales; Propylenellaceae
Description: tRNA-Asp
Rfam family: tRNA
About the family: Transfer RNA (tRNA) molecules are approximately 80 nucleotides in length. Their secondary structure includes four short double-helical elements and three loops (D, anti-codon, and T loops).
Source: RNAcentral